This 77-nucleotide transfer RNA is filed under the name Oscillospiraceae bacterium. Its description in RNAcentral is "tRNA-Val". It matches the Rfam family "tRNA". Rfam says of the family: Transfer RNA (tRNA) molecules are approximately 80 nucleotides in length. Lineage: Bacteria; Bacillati; Bacillota; Clostridia; Eubacteriales; Oscillospiraceae. The record is from RNAcentral.
GGACGCGUAGCUCAGCUGGUUAGAGCGCCUGCUUCACACGCAGGAGGUCCACGGUUCAAGUCCGUGCGUGUCCACCA